This 74-nucleotide transfer RNA is filed under the name Bacteroidia bacterium. Its description in RNAcentral is "tRNA-Lys". It matches the Rfam family "tRNA". Rfam says of the family: Transfer RNA (tRNA) molecules are approximately 80 nucleotides in length. Their secondary structure includes four short double-helical elements and three loops (D, anti-codon, and T loops). Further hydrogen bonds mediate the characteristic L-shaped molecular structure. tRNAs have two regions of fundamental functional importance: the anti-codon, which is responsible for specific mRNA codon recognition, and the 3' end, to which the tRNAs corresponding amino acid is attached (by aminoacyl-tRNA synthetases). tRNAs cope with the degeneracy of the genetic code in two manners: having more than one tRNA (with a specific anti-codon) for a particular amino acid; and 'wobble' base-pairing, i.e. permitting non-standard base-pairing at the 3rd anti-codon position. The record is from RNAcentral. Lineage: Bacteria; Pseudomonadati; Bacteroidota; Bacteroidia.
GACUCCGUAGCUCAGUUGGUAGAGCAAAUGACUCUUAAUCAUUGGGUCGAGGGUUCGAGCCCCUCCGGGGUCAC